This 681-nucleotide long non-coding RNA is filed under the name Astyanax mexicanus (Mexican tetra). RNAcentral describes it as "lncRNA (ENSAMXG00005017963.1)". The record is from RNAcentral. Lineage: Eukaryota; Metazoa; Chordata; Actinopteri; Characiformes; Acestrorhamphidae.
UCUCUCUCUUUCUCUAUCUCUCUCUCUCUCUCUCUCUCUUCUUCUCUCCCUCUAGGUCUGCUCCGAGAAUCUCACAGUGACACGGCUACUUUCAGCCCUGCAUUCAUUAAUAAAUAUGGUAACUAUGUCAGUCGUGACAUUACUGCUAACACAGACAACGACGGAAGAGUCAACAAAAGGAAGUGGAGCAGUGUAGAGCGUAUGGACAGAGCUUCCUCAGGUUAGGAGUGAUGCUGAUGUUUUCUCUAUUCCCUUCUUCCUCCACUCCUCCGCUAGUUUGGUCCACCCAUUUGUACAGAAUGUUUGGAAAGGGAGUUCCGUAUCCAGCCUGCUUCAGUGAAUACACAUCAGCCUGUGUAAACCAGUGAGAGAGAGAGAGAGAGAGGCAGGUCUCCACAGGCCUGAUUACUGCCAGACCUGUGGACGAAAGAGAAGAAGAACGAGACUGGGUGAAAAUGGAGAAAUGGAGAAAAUGGAGAAUUCCAAGGCAAUAAAACACUGCUUACCAAAAAGAACACAACGGCCCAUCUCAUAUUUACCAAAAAACAUCUUGAUGAUCUCCAGAACUUUGGAAAAAUAUUCUUUGGACUGACUUGUCAAAAGAGGCUAGAGCAGCGACUCUCAACGGGUGGGUCGGGGCCCAAAAAUGUGUUAUGAUCACACGUUCUGGGUGGGUCACGG